Molecule: ribosomal RNA, 253 nt
Filed under: uncultured bacterium
Lineage: Bacteria
Description: partial 16S ribosomal RNA
Rfam family: Bacterial small subunit ribosomal RNA
Source: RNAcentral
UACGUAGGGUGCGAGCGUUAAUCGGAAUUACUGGGCGUAAAGCGUGCGCAGGCGGCGCCGCAAGUCGAGUGUGAAAUCCCCGAGCUUAACUUGGGAAUUGCGCUCGAAACUACGGUGCUGGAGUAUGGCAGAGGGAGGUGGAAUUCCACGUGUAGCGGUGAAAUGCGUAGAUAUCUGGAGGAAUACCGGUGGCGAAGGCGGCAUCCUGGACCGGCAUUGACGCUGAGGAGCGAAAGCUAGGGGAGCAAACGGG